UACGUAGGGUGCGAGCGUUGUCCGGAAUUAUUGGGCGUAAAGAGCUCGUAGGCGGUUUGUCGCGUCUGCUGUGAAAACCUAAGGCUCAACCUUGGGCUUGCAGUGGGUACGGGCAGACUAGAGUGCGGUAGGGGUGACUGGAAUUCCUGGUGUAGCGGUGGAAUGCGCAGAUAUCAGGAGGAACACCGAUGGCGAAGGCAGGUCUCUGGGCCGAUACUGACGCUGAGGAGCGAAAGCGUGGGGAGCGAACAGG
RNAcentral lists this ribosomal RNA (253 nucleotides) under uncultured bacterium. RNAcentral describes it as "partial 16S ribosomal RNA". It matches the Rfam family "Bacterial small subunit ribosomal RNA", at positions 524 to 776 of the family's 1533-position model. The record is from RNAcentral.